RNAcentral lists this transfer RNA (69 nucleotides) under Dysalotus oligoscolus. RNAcentral's name for it is "tRNA-Arg". It matches the Rfam family "tRNA". Rfam says of the family: Transfer RNA (tRNA) molecules are approximately 80 nucleotides in length. Their secondary structure includes four short double-helical elements and three loops (D, anti-codon, and T loops). Further hydrogen bonds mediate the characteristic L-shaped molecular structure. tRNAs have two regions of fundamental functional importance: the anti-codon, which is responsible for specific mRNA codon recognition, and the 3' end, to which the tRNAs corresponding amino acid is attached (by aminoacyl-tRNA synthetases). tRNAs cope with the degeneracy of the genetic code in two manners: having more than one tRNA (with a specific anti-codon) for a particular amino acid; and 'wobble' base-pairing, i.e. permitting non-standard base-pairing at the 3rd anti-codon position. Lineage: Eukaryota; Metazoa; Chordata; Actinopteri; Scombriformes; Chiasmodontidae. The record is from RNAcentral.
AGAUGCUUAGUCUAAAUAAAAUACUUGAUUUCGGCUCAAGAGCUUGUGGUGAAAGUCCAUAAUCAUCUA